CACACACACACACACACAAUGCUGCAAAUACUGACAAGUUUUACAAAAUGGCAAAAUUAAAAUUUCCUUGCAAUGGCCCUUUCCCCAGUCCCCAUCUGGACACCCCUUGGGGGCUGGCAUGAGAAGUCACCUCAGCUGGUGUCCCUUUGAUGGCUGUAGCUCCUGGUAGAUCAUCCUUGUCCUCUCCUUUGGGGGGUCUCAUUUCACCCCAUCUUUUUCUUCCAGGCAUCUGGACACCACUCCAGCUGAUGCUGUAUUCAGAGACUCAUUUUCUUUUUAUUUCCUCCCGAAAAGACUUGAAUGACUGAUCGGUAAAAGACUUGACUGUAAGCAUGGAUCCAAAUACUCAACAUCAGAAGUCCUGGCUCUGCUUCCCUAACAACUAAACAGAAAAAUUCCAGGUUUUAAAGUCCUAAUCUUACCGUAGCUGAAGACAUCAUAUGCAGCCAAUGAUGAACCAAGACUUGGAACAAAACUCGUCAAUAUUUUUUAAUGUUAGAGUUCUGAGUAAACAGAUAACCAGGUUUAUUAUUCAGUAGUAGAGACAUCAUGUUACUAGAGAGUAAAAUUCACAACACUCUGAGGAGGCUUUGAAGUAAACCGUGAAGCAAGUAGCAUGUCAACAUCCUGGUUGCUUUGUGCAAUUUUCUUUGUCACCAUUAACAAGGAGAAUGAAGUGCUGGAAACCUGCCACAGCAAGGCUCAAUUCUCGGACCCUAACAUUUGGGGGCUUGUCCGGGAUCUGGGAGUCUACUGGUUCGAGUCUCUGGCCAGGCUGUUUGCUCCUGGCCCUUGUGGCAAUCUCCAGAGUCUGUAUGUCCGAAGAUUUCCACUUGGCCGAUGGACACACUGUCCAGGGAACACCUGCAAAGCAUAAGCUGCUGAGCUUCGGACUUGCUGAGAGCCGAUGUGAACCAGUCCAGCCCACGUGACGGCUCCCUGUCCCUUCACCUGGAUCAGAUAAUCAGACGCUUCUGAUAAAUGCCUGGACUAGCCUUCCAGCUUUCCUGGACCCUGACAAUUGACACCCCAGUUCAGUUGGAAGCAGCGACAGAAGAGAGUACAUCAAUCCUGCCCCCAUAACAAGUUGAAAAAGGCUAAGUCAAAAGGAAACUCCCUGACACAGGGGUGCAAAAUGGCUACCUAUAAUGCCAAUUGAUCAUACGAAUGGUGGGGCCUUUAGUUGCAAUUCUAUUAAUCAUGCUACAUGCAUCCUGCCUGUUGAACUCUAUCUCCUGCUUCAUUCAAAGGAGGAUCAAUGCAGUUAAGCUCCUAGUCCUGCGGGCCCAAUACAGGACCUGAACCUUUGACAUCAGUGAUUUGAUGACCUACUAGAAGAUGCAGGAAUGUUAGAUCCUAGUUAGCAGCAGAAACUCCACCUUGUCCCAGUCUGCUGUUCUGCCCUGAACUGUUGUUACCCACCAUUUCCUGAGGCUAGGCUGCAGCACCCCCAAACGCCUCUCACAGGUAUAAAUCAUAAGUGUUCCACCCCCUUCCAAUUGGUUGGCCCAGAGCUGUUUCAAACCGAACCACAGGACUCCCUGAUAGGCUGAAAGCGUGUCACCAUGAAAGGUCCCCAACUGCUUCUCCCCAUAUGUUAUGAUUAGAUAGGACUAGGGAGCUAUCUCUGUCUCUCUGGUGUUCCCC
Long non-coding RNA from Peromyscus californicus insignis, 1647 nucleotides. RefSeq lists it as uncharacterized. The record is from RefSeq and is a predicted model, not a curated record. The transcript is spliced from 5 exons. NCBI's taxonomy places the organism in Eukaryota, Metazoa, Chordata, Mammalia, Rodentia, Cricetidae.